Molecule: non-coding RNA, 101 nt
Organism: Ostertagia ostertagi
Lineage: Eukaryota; Metazoa; Nematoda; Chromadorea; Rhabditida; Trichostrongylidae
Source: the annotation of a GenBank genome assembly
AUAGUCUAUUAUCAAAUUUCGCAAAACUCACGAAUUCCGCGCAGGGGCCAUGCUAAUCUUCUCUGUGCUGUUCCAAUUUUAGAAAAUGUUCAAAAAUGAAC